CCAUACUGAACACAAAAUUUCAAUCAAAAUGGGUUAAGUAGUUCAUAUGAGAUUAAGACACAAAUUGAUUUUAUUUUAAAAGUAUAAAAAAACUGCCCUUUAAAUGUUAGGAAAGAUUUCAGCGGAGUUUGAAUGCUUAAGUACCUAUCUACGUCAUAAGAACAUCAUACCUUAUAUCCUGCGUAUUUAAACUAUUUUUUUUUAUUUUCUCACUGAAUCCAUUAACAACCUUCAAAAAAAAACAAACAGACGCAAUAUAAUCUUGACAUUUGAAAGGUAUAUAAGGGGGGGUCGCCUGUCUUACUGGUCAGUACUCUGGUUUGGGCAGCAGUAUGGGUCGAUUCGUGUUUGUGUGGAUUGCCUUGGCGCUCGUCGUAGCCACGUUUGCCUCACCAGUUCCAGACGGCGAUCACUAUGGUGAUGGUCAUAAAGCAGACGGUACUCGUGGAGUAGGCGGCACUGACCACAGUCGCGGAGGCCUCUAUGAGAAGAGCGGCGCGACGAGCGGGGCGUCCGGCGGGUACGGCCACGGCGCGGGCGGGAUACUUGCAUAUGGCGGGUAGUAAUAAAUAGGAUUUAAAAAUUAA
Plodia interpunctella (Indianmeal moth) is the source of this 587-nucleotide long non-coding RNA. RefSeq lists it as uncharacterized. The transcript has 2 exons. Lineage: Eukaryota; Metazoa; Arthropoda; Insecta; Lepidoptera; Pyralidae. The record is from RefSeq and is a predicted model, not a curated record.